GAGGUAAGAUACUCAAAAACAAGCUUCUAACUUAGUUUUUUAGUGGUGAAAUUCCAUUUAUACCUCU
Molecule: transfer RNA, 67 nt
Filed under: Prismognathus prossi
Lineage: Eukaryota; Metazoa; Arthropoda; Insecta; Coleoptera; Lucanidae
Description: tRNA-Ser
Source: RNAcentral